UAGUGGUUAGAGGGUUGGCAGGUAGCCUAGUGGUUAGAGGGGAGGCAGGUAGCCUAGUGGUUAGAGGGGUGGCAGGUAGCCUAGUGGUUAGAGGGGAGGCAGGUAGCCUAGUGGUUAGAGGGGAGGCAGGUAGCCUAGUGGUUAGAGGGGAGGCAGGUAGCCUAGUGGUUAGAGGGGAGGCAGGUAGCCUAGUGGUUAGGGGGGGGGGCAGGUAGCCUAGUGGUUAGAGGGGAGGCAGGUAGCCUAGUGGUUAGAGGGGAGGCAGGUAGCCUAGUGGUUAGAGGGGCGCCAGGUAGCCUAGUGGUUAGAGGGGCACCAGGUAGCCUAGUGGUUAGAGGGGAGGCAGGUAGCCUAGUGGUUAGAGGGGAGGCAGGUAGCCUAGUGGUUAGAGGGGGGUGGCAGGUAGCCUAGUGGAUUAGAGGGGAGGCAGGUAGCCUAGUGGUUAGAGGGGCGGCAGGUAGCCUAGUGGUUAGAGGGGAGGCAGGUAGCCUAGUGGUUAGAGGGGAGGCAGGUAGCCUAGUGGUUAGAGGGGAGGCAGGUAGCCUAGUGGUUAGAGGGUAGGGGCGGCAGGUAGCCUAGUGGUUAGAGGGGGCAGGUAACCUAGUGGUUAGAGUGUAGGGGCGGCAGGUAGCCUAGUGGUUAGAGGGGAGGCAGGUAGCCUAGUGGUUAGAGUGUAGGGGCGGCAGGUAGUCUAGUGGUUAGAGUGUAGAGGCAGCAGGGUAGCCUAGUGGUUAGAGGGGAGGCAGGUAGCCUAGUGGUUAGAGUGUAGGGGCAGCAGGGUAGCCUAGUGGUUAGAGUGUAGGGGCGGCAGGUAGCCUAGUGGUUAGAGGGGAGGCAGGUAGCCUAGUGGUUAGAGGGGUGGAA
Molecule: long non-coding RNA, 864 nt
Organism: Oncorhynchus tshawytscha (Chinook salmon)
Lineage: Eukaryota; Metazoa; Chordata; Actinopteri; Salmoniformes; Salmonidae
Source: Ensembl